RNAcentral lists this transfer RNA (73 nucleotides) under Stegodyphus mimosarum. It matches the Rfam family "tRNA". Rfam says of the family: Transfer RNA (tRNA) molecules are approximately 80 nucleotides in length. The record is from Rfam by way of RNAcentral. Lineage: Eukaryota; Metazoa; Arthropoda; Arachnida; Araneae; Eresidae.
GCCUUCGUGGUGUAGUGGUCGACAUGUUCGACGCGUAACCGAGAGGUCCAGGGUUCGAUUCCCGGCGAAGGCG